This 397-nucleotide ribosomal RNA is filed under the name uncultured bacterium. Its description in RNAcentral is "partial 16S ribosomal RNA". It matches the Rfam family "Bacterial small subunit ribosomal RNA", at positions 523 to 918 of the family's 1533-position model. The record is from RNAcentral.
AUACGUAGGUGACAAGCGUUAUCCGGAUUUACUGGGCGUAAAGGGCGUGUAGGCGGUCUUGCAAGUCAGAAGUGAAAUUCCUGAGCUCAACUCGGGCGCUGCUUCUGAAACUGCAGGACUUGAGUGCUGGAGGGGAUAGCGGAAUUCCUAGUGGAGCGGUAAAAUGCGCAGAUAUUAGGAAGAACACCGGUGGCGAAGGCGGCUACCUGGCAGGUAACUGACGCUGAGGCGCGAAAGCGGGGGGAGCAAACCGGAUUAGAUACCCGGGGAGCCCACGCCGUAAACGAUGAAUACUAGGUGGAGGGGGUAUCGACUCCCUCUGUGCCGCAGUUAACACAAUAAGUAUUCCGCCUGGGGAGUACGGCCGCAAGGUUGAAACUCAAAUGAAUUGACGGGG